AAAUAUACCGCUUUUGUGCUAAGGUAGCAUAAUAAUUUGUCUUUUAAUUAAAGACUAGAACAAAAGGUUUAACAUCUCAAUUAAUAUUUCAUAAAAAACUAUUUAAAUUAUUUUAAUUGUAAAAAAACAAUUUUAAAAAAGAAAGACGAUAAGACCCUAUCGAACUUUACUUCAGUUUAACUGGGGCAGUUAAUUAAUUAUUAUUUUAAUAAAAUUAAACAUUUAAUUUGACCUAAUAUUAUUAAUAAAAUAAUUAAGUUACCGUAGGGAUAACAGCGUAAUAAAAUUUUUAAGACCUUAUUUAAAAUAAAGAUUACGACCUCGAUGUUGAUUUAAUAUCCUAAUUUACGCAAUAGUUAAUUAAGGAAGUCUGUUCGACUUUUAAAAAAUUACAUGAUCUG
Molecule: ribosomal RNA, 401 nt
Filed under: Pardosa sierra
Lineage: Eukaryota; Metazoa; Arthropoda; Arachnida; Araneae; Lycosidae
Description: partial 16S ribosomal RNA
Source: RNAcentral